RNAcentral lists this ribosomal RNA (1188 nucleotides) under Acinetobacter sp. RNAcentral's name for it is "bacterial SSU rRNA". It matches the Rfam family "Bacterial small subunit ribosomal RNA", at positions 290 to 1471 of the family's 1533-position model. Lineage: Bacteria; Pseudomonadati; Pseudomonadota; Gammaproteobacteria; Moraxellales; Moraxellaceae. The record is from RNAcentral.
UUCUGAAGAAGGAAUGAUUCCGCCACCACUGGGAACUGAGGACACGGUCCAGACUCUACGGGAGGCAGCAGUGGGAAUAUGACAUGGGCGCAGCUGAUCCAGCCAUGCCGCGUGUGUGAAGAAGCCUUAUGGUUGUAAAGCACUUUAAGCGAGGAGGAGGCUACUUUAGUUAAUACCUAGAGAUAGUGGACGUUACUCGCAGAAUAAGCACCGGCUAACUCUGUGCCAGCAGCCGCGGUAAUACAGAGGGUGCAAGCGUUAAUCGGAUUUACUGGGCGUAAAGCGCGCGUAGGCGGCUAAUUAAGUCAAAUGUGAAAUCCCCGAGCUUAACUUGGGAAUUGCAUUCGAUACUGGUUAGCUAGAGUGUGGGAGAGGAUGGUAGAAUUCCAGGUGUAGCGGUGAAAUGCGUAGAGAUCUGGAGGAAUACCGAUGGCGAAGGCAGCCAUCUGGCCUAACACUGACGCUGAGGUGCGAAAGCAUGGGGAGCAAACAGGAUUAGAUACCCUGGUAGUCCAUGCCGUAAACGAUGUCUACUAGCCGUUGGGGCCUUUGAGGCUUUAGUGGCGCAGCUAACGCGAUAAGUAGACCGCCUGGGGAGUACGGUCGCAAGACUAAAACUCAAAUGAAUUGACGGGGGCCCGCACAAGCGGUGGAGCAUGUGGUUUAAUUCGAUGCAACGCGAAGAACCUUACCUGGCCUUGACAUAGUAAGAACUUUCCAGAGAUGGAUUGGUGCCUUCGGGAACUUACAUACAGGUGCUGCAUGGCUGUCGUCAGCUCGUGUCGUGAGAUGUUGGGUUAAGUCCCGCAACGAGCGCAACCCUUUUCCUUAUUUGCCAGCGAGUAAUGUCGGGAACUUUAAGGAUACUGCCAGUGACAAACUGGAGGAAGGCGGGGACGACGUCAAGUCAUCAUGGCCCUUACGGCCAGGGCUACACACGUGCUACAAUGGUCGGUACAAAGGGUUGCUACCUAGCGAUAGGAUGCUAAUCUCAAAAAGCCGAUCGUAGUCCGGAUUGGAGUCUGCAACUCGACUCCAUGAAGUCGGAAUCGCUAGUAAUCGCGGAUCAGAAUGCCGCGGUGAAUACGUUCCCGGGCCUUGUACACACCGCCCGUCACACCAUGGGAGUUUGUUGCACCAGAAGUAGCUAGCCUAACUGCAAAGAGGGCGGUACCACGGUGGCCCGAU